GUGAGGUCAGAUAUGACUAUUUUCUCAUCUUCACUGGUCAAUGAAAGUUUGUCUAAGAAGUCAAUAAUGUAUGUGGGAAAUUGUCUCCUCUUUACAGACCAUCCAUCCAACAUCAUCUGCCUCGGUAAGGAUCUGUUGCAGCUUUGUGUCACUGACUGUAUUUCUUCAAACUCCUGUUCCGUGUCACAUAGCUUAUGCAAGACUGAAUCAAUGAAGAUGCUGUAACCAUAAAGCAACCAGGACAACACACCUGGAGUGACCGAGAGCAGGAUGAAGAAAGAAUCGGAUGAAAAAAAUAUCAACUGGUGUCCAUGAGGAGACACAUUGUUCUUGGACCUGCUUUUUCUGUUUAGUAAUAAGUGGUUUUAUGUGGUUACAUAAAAGUAAUUUAAUAUUCAAUCCACAAGCUAAAUUUCCUACAUUUUCUUAAAAAGGUAGUUGACCCAAAAAGGAAAAUUCUGUCAUUUACACAAACAGUUUGGUUACAAACAUUUCUCACAAUAUCUCCCUUCCUGUUUAUCAGAACAAAGAAAUUUAUGCGGGUUUGUAACAACAUGAGAGAGUGUGUAAAUGAUGACAUAAUUUUCAUUUUUGGGUGAAGUACCCCUUUAACAUUUUUAUACCCAGGGGUAGGGGUGUGCAGCGGAGGCAGUAUUUGUAUCUGUAUUUGUAUCUGUAACAGUCUCAAAAUUAUAUGUAUCUGUAUUUGUAUUCGGAUGGAACCGGAAGUGGGCGGGUCUUAAACCGGAAGUUUGUCAUAUUACAUUAAAAUGGAAUUUUAAAU
Non-coding RNA from Misgurnus anguillicaudatus (oriental weatherfish), 784 nucleotides. NCBI's taxonomy places the organism in Eukaryota, Metazoa, Chordata, Actinopteri, Cypriniformes, Cobitidae. The record is from RefSeq and is a predicted model, not a curated record.